Molecule: ribosomal RNA, 459 nt
Filed under: uncultured bacterium
Lineage: Bacteria
Description: partial 16S ribosomal RNA
Rfam family: Bacterial small subunit ribosomal RNA
Source: RNAcentral
CCUACGGGAGGCAGCAGUGAGGAAUAUUGGUCAAUGGUCGGGAGACUGAACCAGCCAAGCCGCGUGAGGGAUGAAGGUACAGAGUAUCGUAAACCUCUUUUGUCAGGGAACAAAGGCGGGGACGUGUCCCCGGAUGAGUGUACCUGAAGAAAAAGCAUCGGCUAACUCCGUGCCAGCAGACGCGGUAAUACGGAGGAUGCGAGCGUUAUCGGGAUUUAUUGGGUUAAAAGGGUGCGCAGGCGGUCUGUUAAGUCAGCGGGCAAAGCCCGGGGCUCACCCCCGGCCCGCCGUUGAAACUGGCAGGCUGGAGUUGGAGAGAAGGAUGCGGAAUGCGCGGUGUAGCGGUGAAAUGCAUAGAUAUCGCGCAGAACUCCGAUUGCGAAGGCAGCAUGCCGGCUCCACACUGACGCUGAGGCACGAAAGCGUGGGUAUCGAACAGGAUUAGAUACCCUGGUAGUC